GACAGAGGGUGCAAACGUUGUUCGGAAUUACUGGGCGUAAAGCGCGUGUAGGCGGCCAGACAAGUCGGGUGUGAAAGCCCACGGCUCAACCGUGGAAGGGCACUCGAAACUGCUUGGCUAGAGUCCUGGAGAGGAAGGCGGAAUACUCGGUGUAGAGGUGAAAUUCGUAGAUAUCGAGUGGAACACCGGUGGCGAAGGCGGCCUUCUGGACAGUGACUGACGCUGAGACGCGAAAGCGUGGGGAGCAAACAGG
This 253-nucleotide ribosomal RNA is filed under the name uncultured bacterium. Its description in RNAcentral is "partial 16S ribosomal RNA". It matches the Rfam family "Bacterial small subunit ribosomal RNA", at positions 524 to 776 of the family's 1533-position model. The record is from RNAcentral.